This is a small nuclear RNA of Nycticebus coucang (slow loris), 104 nucleotides long. NCBI's taxonomy places the organism in Eukaryota, Metazoa, Chordata, Mammalia, Primates, Lorisidae. The record is from RefSeq and is a predicted model, not a curated record.
GUGUUCACUUGAACAGCACAUAAAUUAAAAUUGGAUUGAUACAGAGAUUAGCAUGGCCCCUGUGCAAGGAUAACGGGCAAAUUCACGAAGUGAUCCAUAUAUAU